GGAGAAGGCACAUCAGAGAUAGAUACGCAAAUGCAUAAAUGCCCAAGAAUUACUUUUUUCCAGCACCUCAAUUAAAAAAUAAACUUUUACAACAUAUUUGUAACAUAGAAUGACAAUAUCAAACGAUUCAAAACAAUCAAUUAUGUACAAAACAAAGAAAUACCAAAAAAUUGUCAUAUGAUAUUUUUCCACGCAUUUGUCUUUAUGAACACAUUUUUUCACAUAUUAUCCAUACCUCUCCAGGAUGUAUGAUGGUC
This 257-nucleotide unclassified non-coding RNA is filed under the name Hevea brasiliensis (rubber tree). The record is from RNAcentral. Lineage: Eukaryota; Viridiplantae; Streptophyta; Magnoliopsida; Malpighiales; Euphorbiaceae.